GAUGGAGAACGCAGCGAAAUGCGAUAAGUAGUGUGAAUUGCAGAAUUCAGUGAAUCAUCGAAUCUUUGAACGCACAUUGCGCCCCUUGGUAUUCCAUGGGGCAUGCCUGUUCGAGCGUCAUUUGUACCUUCAAGCUCUGCUUGGUGUUGGGUGUUUGUCUCGCCUCUGCGUGUAGACUCGCCUUAAAACAAUUGGCAGCCGGCGUAUUGAUUUCGGAGCGCAGUACAUCUCGCGCUUUGCACUCAUAACGACGACGUCCAAAAGUACAUUUUUACACUCUUGACCUCGGAUCAGGUAGGGAUACCCGCUGAACUUAAGCAUAUCAAUAAGCGGAGGA
Molecule: unclassified non-coding RNA, 337 nt
Filed under: soil metagenome
Description: partial contains 5.8S ribosomal RNA, internal transcribed spacer 2, and large subunit ribosomal RNA
Rfam family: 5.8S ribosomal RNA (bases 1-120)
Source: RNAcentral